AGCUGAAUGGCGCAGCGGAAGCGCGGUGAGUUGAAACCGGAUCAUCUAUCGGUCCGAAUAGAUUACUGAUAUUCAUCCAGCCGGGCUCAUAACCCGGAGGACAGUGGAUCGAAACCACUUUCAGCUA
Molecule: non-coding RNA, 127 nt
Organism: Coniosporium apollinis CBS 100218
Lineage: Eukaryota; Fungi; Ascomycota; Dothideomycetes
Source: the annotation of a RefSeq genome assembly